GUGGGGAAUUUUGGACAAUGGGCGCAAGCCUGAUCCAGCAAUGCCGCGUGCAGGAAGAAGGCCUUCGGGUUGUAAACUGCUUUUGUACGGAACGAAACGGUCCGGGUUAAUACCCUGGGCUAAUGACGGUACCGUAAGAAUAAGCACCGGCUAACUACGUGCCAGCAGCCGCGGUAAGACGUAGGGUGCAAGCGUUAAUCGGAAUUACUGGGCGUAAAGCGCGCGUAGGUGGUUUUGUAAGUUGGAGGUGAAAUCCCCGGGCUCAACCUGGGAAUUGCGCUUGUGACUGCAAGGCUGGAGUGCGGCAGAGGGGGAUGGAAUUCCGCGUGUAGCAGUGAAAUGCGUAGAUAUGCGGAGGAACACCGAUGGCGAAGGCAAUCCCCUGGGCCUGCACUGACGCUCAUGCACGAAAGCGUGGGGAGCAAACAGGAUUAGAUACCCCAGUAGUCC
This 450-nucleotide ribosomal RNA is filed under the name uncultured bacterium. Its description in RNAcentral is "partial 16S ribosomal RNA". It matches the Rfam family "Bacterial small subunit ribosomal RNA", at positions 354 to 796 of the family's 1533-position model. The record is from RNAcentral.